UUUUCUAUGAUGUCAUCUCCUCUCUUUUAUUCUGAGACAUUUUUGUUGUCUGGUUUAUUUUUUUCUUCCUCAAGGAUGGAAAUGGUCUGGAGAGCCUCCCUUGCAUAUCCACAGACACACUUGAGAGUGGUUCUGUUUAUAAUCAUUUCCUCCUGCAUAAACAUCAGUGGCUAGUGUUUCACAUUCAUCUUUUCUUCCCAUUCCAUCAAUUCCACCAAUGCAGGCCUCUCUCUCCCACUCACACAUUCAGGGCAUGUAUAAAGCAGGUGCCUCAGUACUGAAAACUUUGAGUUUUGAUUUCUUAGCUUCCUCAAUAUUCAGUGUGUUACCCAGUAAGGGGGAGAAAUGUGGCUGAAAAUCAGCAAUUCCUAAAGAGAUGUACAUAUAAGAAUAGACAGAAAAUCAGAUAUGAACUUGCAGUGCAAUAUGCUGACAUUUGAGGCAAAAUCUGCCCUGAAUAUGUAUGGACACCGUGUUACGAUUCCGAGAGUUGAUAAUGCUUCUUUCUACAAUGCCGCUGAGGAUUUACCUAAAACACUUUCCCCAGUUCAGCUCAAUAAUGCCUCUCAUCCCUUUCCUUUUAAAAAUAUUUUCCAUUUAAGCCGCUUAGUAAAAUACCUCAUGAUGUUCAACAGUGAAAGUAUUCAAGUUGCUUCUUAUUCUAGUUAGCGUCCUUUUGUCACUUCAUCCCUCAUUCUGAAUGCUUCCCGCAAAGUGUCUUCAGCAAAUCAAAGGAAAUUUUGGGAUGCAAUUUUUCACCCUCAGAGCCCCACGUCUUUCUGUAACACUUUAAGGGUCACCUGGUGAAUAACACUGAUCAUAUUCUAUGCAUGAAAGAACAUUCACUGAACACAUUCUUUGUUUCCCAGAAAACAUCAAAGAUUUAACGCUACCAAGCAUUCUGUACUCUGGGCCAUCUGAAUCAGUAUGAUGCUCCUAUAUUCAGGAGAGCUUUCUGCAAAUGAAUAACCUAUUUAUAAACAGCAUUACAUACUCUACAUAAUGUUAGUUCGCCCUUCAUAUCAAUUUGGGCUAAGAGUGCAUGAAAACGCCUACACAUCACCAUCAUAAUUCCCUCCCUGCCUGCCACUCUGACCCUUAGCCAUCAUGUCACCUCUUAGCCUCUUUUUCUCUCUUGCCAGUGAGAGAGGCAAAAGCAUUUGCACCUAGUGCCAGUUCAGGGUGAGUUAACCAGUCAGCCAUCUUUAAAUUAUUAUGGAUAACUUAAAUCCCUGCUACCAGAGAAGCCUGAAAUGUCACUACAAACAUUAGUAUACAUCUCACUCUCACAUUGCUUUCGGUCUAGCAGGAAAUACAGACAGGUGAGCAAAUCAUUACAAAGCCCUGUUAGAAAUGCUAAAGGAGAUACACGAUGUGUCACGGACUCAUCAAGAAAUGAAUGGAUUGGAAUUCACGUUGUGGCUCAGUGGGAACAAACCCAACUAGCAUCCCUGAGGACACGGGUUCAGUACCUGGCUCUGCUCAGUAGGUUAGGGAUCCAGCAUUGCCACGAGCUGCAGGGUAGAUCUCAGAUGUGGCUUGGAUACUGUGUUGCUGUGGCUGUAGUAUAGGCUAGAAGCUGCAGCUCCGAUUAGACCCCUAACUUGGGAACUUCCAUGUGCCACAGGCACGGCCCUGAAAAGACAACAAGAAAAGAAUGCUUUUCCUAAUUGGAAAGCAGAGGAAGUGAUACAAGGGCAAACUCCAGGGGAGAGGAGAAGAUAGAAAAGAAUGUAUAGCAUUUCCACAGAUACAUCCCACUGUCUCCCUCGGAGUUUUAGCUUUCCAUAAGCAUGGAAUACAAAAUAUUCUUUCCAGAAUCAGGACCUUUAUUUAUGACCCGACCUAGAAAAGGCAUUGCUGAGAAAUACAGGCUUAACACCUCUGCAUUACUUAUCUGGGCUAAAAUGAGUCAGUGUUUAUCUGUAGUCGGGAAGACUGAGGGUCUGGAAUUUCUGCCCUAAAACCUUGGACACAUUACUGCACAUCACUGGAAGAUGCCAGAGAAGGUAGUAUCUAAAUAUAAUUAGAUGCCAAAGAGGAAGCAUAGACUCUGGGGUCAUAAAAACCUGUGUUCAAAUUCUUGCUUAGCUAUCAACUAGGGAAAUGACAUGCACACAGCUCCCCACAACCAGAAAAAAAGUACUAAAAAAAAAAUCUGUGCUACAAAGUAGGAAUGAGAAUGGAAUCCUGCUCAGGAAGCACUUGGAGGAGCAUGUGGCAUGUAUGUCAGCUACUAUUUGGGAAGUUUGGUUAUUACUACACGGAGCAGUAGCAGCAUCAGUAGUAGCAACAGCAGAGGAGAAGGAAGGUGAGGAGUAAUAGCAGUGCUGGUGCCAAGACCAGCUGACUUUUCCAGGAUUCUGUGAGCCUAUGCAUCUUCUUGAUAAGAUUUGAUUUACAACAAAAAUGGUUUUUUUUUUUUUUUUAGCUCUAAUAGUAAUUCUGUUACCUAGGAUGUUUCUACUGGGAAAAAUAAAAACUGAGGAGAGAACAAAUUUCCUCCAACCACCAGAGUGAAAAAGACAUGCUUGGCUCAGGAGUAUUUAUAAUCAUGAUUCUGAUUAUUCUAAGACAGAAUCCAGGAUUUUCCCCAAUUAUCCCAACCCGUGAUUCCAAAUUCAUCCCUCCAAUGAUUUCCAGGUAUAUCAAGGAAUGUCAGUCUGAUUAAGGUGGGUUUUACUGUACCUUGCCCAGUGUGGCAAAGGACACCAGGAUUCUUAAGUGCCUUAGCAGAGUCUCCACCUCCCAGGCAACUAGAAGGCAUAUCCUGCAAGUCUUUGUGACAGGCAGUGCACAGCCAUACCAUACACCGAUGACAGAUAGGGGUUGUCACUGCUGACAGCCAGCCAGCAGCCUCAAGCAAACAAGCAGUGGAUGAAAGACAUGAGACUGAAAAAUAAACCUGUUGUCUUGGACUGACAGACGCUGUACAUUUUCAGGGCUUUGUCGAGAAAGGCAUGGUAUGUUUGCAAGCAUCAGGUGGUUAUUUGUCAUACAUGAAAACCUUUAUUUCUAGGAAAACUCUGAGCUCAGUAGAGAUGGUAAGACACUAUGAGUUAAUAACCCACACUGACGUCUACAGGCCAACCACCCAGUUCCACCCAUACAUGGCAUGCAUUAAUGGGGCAUUAAAUCUAUGUGUCAGACAUGGUACUUAAUACUUCACAAAAAAUGUCCGUGUUUCAUCUUUCUUACACCAUCAUGGGGCUUUACAGGUUGAGUGCCCUGGUCUAACCAGGAUCUAUACUUUACUAGCUUCUGUGAUUUGGGGUCAGUUAAUUCUCUCUUUUAACCCACAGUUUGCUCAUCUCUAAAUUGGGAGAAAUAAUAGUAUUGUUUUAUAGCCGCUGUAGAGAAAUAGGAUGGACCUUUAUCCAAAUUUGGUUCAGAUGUUGAGACUGAAGAUGACACACACAGACAAGCAAAACAAAUCAAAACGAAAAUAUGAAAAUAUUUAUUACUCAUGGAAUGAGUCUUUCUGAGGAGGGCAGAGCAGGUUUGCCUAACUGGUCCUAAAAUGGCUUGACAGAUCAAGGAAGGGAGAAUCAGUUGGAGUUUUUAUGGUGGUGACAAAGUGGGGCUGGGGUAUUCCUGCCAUUGCAAAUUCCUCUUGGCAAGGGAGAAAGUGAACUAUGUGGGGCAGAAGAAGAGGAAGCAAAGCUUAAAAGCUAUUACCAGUCAAACCUCAAAAAAUGGCAUCGGUGUCUUUAUGACAAAUGUCUACCUUCAGAGCUUCCUUAUGACGAUUCAUUGAAAUAAUUAAUGUUUAACCCUUGAUGUCCUCUCAGGCACAAAUCAACUAGUCAAUGCAUGUGACCUGCAUAUUGGUGGAGGCAAAAAUCAUCCUCACUUUACAGAUUAAACAACUGAGGCUCAAAAAGUAACAUGACGUAAGUUGCUCAGCUGACAAGCAGAAGAAUUCAAACUCCAACUCAGCUCUUAGGAAUCCUAAACAAAGCAAUACAAAUAAAAUACAAAUAAAUGCUCAUCAGAACACCAGCAUUGCCUGUAUCAAAGACAAGAAGAAAAUAGCAGUUCAGUAGUUGAUUCAGUAAUUUCACUAUUAGAGCAUUUUCUACAUAUUUGUGCCAACACUGGGCAGUGUUUCAAUUGAAGCUUUGCAGUAGGUACUGUGGCUUGGGUCUUGAUACUUUUGAUUACACUGAGUGAAUUAGGCUUGCUGUAUUUAGUAACUAAAAAUACGAAACAGCAACACCUGAAUUUUGGGAAAAAAAUGAUUAGAUUUUUAGUAUAAGUUUAUGUCAUGCAAUCUGGGAUCAGUGACAUAUUGCCUUGUCUGGUGAUAUCACUGGCAGAGAUUAAUAUAAAUCGUCCAUAUCCUCUGUUUUUUCCCAAUUUCCUUUUCACAUGAAGAUGUUACUCUUUGAAGCAAUUAGUAGUGACUCCUAAUGUAGCUAUACAUUAAAACUUACAAAUGUUAAUAUCCAUGUACUUCCAGAUGUUCCUAAUGUUUUAUUGCUUGUUUCCACUUUGGAGCAGACAAGCUCAUCCCUCCAUGCCUACACCAAAAGUAAACAGAAUUGGUAGUCAUCCAGGGAGCUGGCUCCAACCAAAUCUAUGAUAAUUGAGGAACCACAUAAUUUUUAGUCUCAAAAGACAAACGGAUGAUUCUUCUUUUUUUUCCUCAGUGGCACAGUGUCUUACAUUUUGUAAUAACUAAAAAAAGCUAUCUAGGGAUGGAGCAAAAUGGGGAAUUAAAUGCAAAUGCUUAGACUCUGAUGAGGCUAUUCCUCCACACGGUCUGAUUUCUUAGCCUGGAGUCAAAGCCUCUUUCGAAAGGAAUAUGCAUGACUCUGGGAUUCAAUCCAGCCUGGCAUCAAAAAUCCUUCCGUGUGGCUUUUCUCAGCUGC
This 4874-nucleotide long non-coding RNA is filed under the name Sus scrofa (pig). RNAcentral describes it as "lncRNA (ENSSSCG00000059289.1)". The record is from RNAcentral. Lineage: Eukaryota; Metazoa; Chordata; Mammalia; Artiodactyla; Suidae.